Molecule: ribosomal RNA, 571 nt
Filed under: Thelohanellus hovorkai
Lineage: Eukaryota; Metazoa; Cnidaria; Myxozoa; Bivalvulida; Myxobolidae
Description: SSU rRNA
Rfam family: Eukaryotic small subunit ribosomal RNA
Source: RNAcentral
UAGAUACCAACGCUGAGCACUGCUAGUUGCACGUGAGAUGGAUUGUUGGCCUUGAAUGAGCCGGUAUUCUCGUCUUGCGGAGUGUGCCUUGAAUAAAACAGAGUGCUUAAAGCAGGUCAUUGCCUGAAUGUUAUAGCAUGGAACGAACAAUCGUGUACAUGUAUCGGCUGUGCCACGGCGAUGGGCCUUAGGUCUGUCGUUGUUCACGGCCGAUACGGCACCCACCAAAGUAUGGCUGUUGGUUCCAUAUACGGUGAUGAUUAAAAGGAGCGGUUGGGGGCAUUGGUAUUUGGCCGCGAGAGGUGAAAUUCUUAGACCGGCCAAGGACUAACAAAUGCAAAGGCAGUUGUCUAGACCGUUUCCGUUAAUCAAGAACGAAAGUGGGAGGUUCGAAGACGAUCAGAUACCGUCCUAGUUCCCACUGUAAACUAUGCCGACCUGGGAUCAGUCUAGAGAUGUUACAAGCUCUAGAUUGGUCCCCCUGGGAAACCUCAAGUUUUUCGGUUACGGGGAGAGUAUGGUCGCAAGGCUGAAACUUAAAGGAAUUGACGGAAGGGCACCACCAGGGGUG